RNAcentral lists this long non-coding RNA (442 nucleotides) under Carica papaya (papaya). Its description in RNAcentral is "long non-coding RNA (CPAP_LNC001524)". The record is from RNAcentral. Lineage: Eukaryota; Viridiplantae; Streptophyta; Magnoliopsida; Brassicales; Caricaceae.
GCACACGAAACUAUAAAAUGAAAACAUCGAACCUUAUACUGCAUUUAAAACUGUAAAACAUGCCAAAUAACAAUUGACCGACAAACACACUAGACUUGGGCUCCAUUAGCGACCUUAAGCAAUUUCACACAUUCGUUGAUUCAUGAAAUACCGUUUUAUCAUUUAUUGAACUUUAAAACCGUGAUAGGAAAUAGGGUGAGGGGUCCUUACACGUUUCGGGGUCCGAACACGGCUUCACAGUGCGCCUACAGGUUGUCCCUAAUUUUCCCUGAAUUUUUUCUCGGGGAACUGAAACGCACUACUGGUAACUGCACGUGUUCCAAAAAAUCCCAAAUUAGGCCCAGGGCCCCUUUCGGCCAAUAUCGCAACUCCGGCAUGGCGGCUCCGCCGUGCUCCGGCGACGGCAUCGCCGCUGGCUGCGGCGAUUCGCCUCGGGUUGGCU